CAAAAGUCAUAGCUGAAGUUGAGCAAAUGACCCAGAAACCCAAAGCCUGGAGAGAGUGUCGUCCACAUUAGAAAAGGAGUCCACUGAAGUUGCUGCUCUUCUGUCACAGGCCAAGAAAAUGGGCUUUAUUGUACAUAGAGAAAUCGGUGCCGACAAAACUACUCGCUACAAAUGGUUAAAAUCCUCGCUCUGAGAAAAAAUAGUAAGUGACUGAAGUAAAGGGUACUGCCACGCCCCAGCGCCAGGAUAACAAUGAUGAUUUUGCUCUGAUGUCUUCUUUCAUAUUAACGACAAGUGAUCAAUCUGUGUAUGUUGGACUUAAACGCAACAAAACUAUUAUAUUCAUUUGCUCUAAUAAGUCAUGCGCAACGUCAUAAAACGUUUAGAGCAAUGCAGCUCAUGCAAACGCGUCAGGAACUCACGCAGGUAACAUCUGAAACCAUACAAACCAUUCCCGUGAGUGAUGUACGCAUUCGCCAAGAAUAGUAGUGAACGAACACAAUUACAGGAAGAAAUUCAAUAUGCGGCAAUGGUAUAGUGGGAAUAUGUUCUCGUCGCUACUGUUCAGAAUAGCCCAAACAUGCAACAUUAGCAGAAACUAAAAAUUGAAAUUUGAAAUACAAUUUCUUCAGCGAUGGAUUAUUUAAACGCAAAUGAUUUCGCAAAAGGAUUUAUACUACUAAUUACACACUGACGUACACCUUUCAUGACUAUCAAAUAUUGUAGAUAUGGCGUAACAAAACUUCUGGGAAAAUAUGGUGCUUAACCCUACGCAACUUAUGUGCAAUUGUGAUUUUUUUCCGAAGCCAUUGAAAACUAAAAGUACUAACAUUUUUAUAGUAAAUAUAUACGAAAUAUUUUCGUACUAGCAAAGUAUAAAUUCGGAUUAUAGCAAUAAAAUAAAACAAAGGACUAACAGUCUUAUUCACAAACAUUUAAAAGAGCUCUAUAAACCGAAAAUAGGAUAAAAUGUUGUUUUUUGUAUUCACAAACACAUAAUAGCCUAUUUUACCCUUAAUAAACCAAUUUUAAAUUUGAAAAAGUUAUUAUUGGUUUUACCCUUGUUUAACACCAUUUUAAAAUGACAUUUCUCAAUUGCACGAGCAUAAACUACUUUAAAUAAAUGUGAAACGUUUGAUUAAA
Stomoxys calcitrans (stable fly) is the source of this 1143-nucleotide long non-coding RNA. RefSeq lists it as uncharacterized. NCBI's taxonomy places the organism in Eukaryota, Metazoa, Arthropoda, Insecta, Diptera, Muscidae. The transcript has 6 exons. The record is from RefSeq and is a predicted model, not a curated record.